This 57-nucleotide transfer RNA is filed under the name Bos taurus (domestic cattle). It matches the Rfam family "tRNA", at positions 8 to 63 of the family's 71-position model. From Rfam's summary of the family: Transfer RNA (tRNA) molecules are approximately 80 nucleotides in length. Lineage: Eukaryota; Metazoa; Chordata; Mammalia; Artiodactyla; Bovidae. The record is from Rfam by way of RNAcentral. RNAcentral also lists the same sequence under 5 other names.
UGGCUCAGACGGUAAAGCGUCUGUCUACAAUGCGGAAGACCCAGGUUCGAUCCCUGG